Molecule: long non-coding RNA, 822 nt
Filed under: Olea europaea subsp. europaea
Lineage: Eukaryota; Viridiplantae; Streptophyta; Magnoliopsida; Lamiales; Oleaceae
Source: RNAcentral
GCAAGUUGCCCACUUGUAUCCUCAAAAUAUCCCGCUGCAAGUCCAUGUAUUUUUCCUCUCAAAAUGGCUGGGUCGGGACUUAGAAAAACCUCAUUAACGCCCUGAAAAACUGCACGAUCUAGGCAGCCUGCAUUCUGCCCCAAAAUCAUCUACUUACAUCCCCCAGCCCGAAUUUGCCUGCGUCCCCUAUCACAAGCUGUUCCGUCCUUCUGAAACGCGUUACCCGCGCUAUCUUGCGAUCGCUAUCGGGACGAAUCGGUCACGACUGUGCGAGCGUAAGUCACUCUCCCAUUGAAUUUGGCGACGCACUCAUCGCCUUGUACCGCUGAAGCUUAGACCUUAAUAGCCAUAAGUCUAUCUCAUUUUCCCACUUGGUGCCAUGAAAUUCCCGUGUCAUGCCAAGCCUUAAGUCAUGACCUUCCUCGUAGCGAAACAUGUUCGGUGCAUCCUCAUGCAACCUUGCAUUGUCUUCCACGUCCAUGGGCAUAAAAGCUCUCCCAACUUGCGGCACCAUCCCUCGAUGACUAGGUUUCCACAGUGCCCCUUGCACCUUUUCCCGUUGCAACCUCUUGCAUGCCACCUUCGACACCAACCUUCACCCUCAGCACCUUUGCCUUGGUUCCUCGGAUGGACAACUCCUCCGGCUGUAGUGUCCUCACACCUGUCGAAGCUUUGAACCUUCGUGCACCCAAUUUCGGACUUUUUUGACAAUGCUUCCUCACUUUCCUUCUUUUUCGGUAGUUCCCUCGGCAACUCCGCGAGCAUGUCCUUAUCAUCUUCAAGAACUUCCGCAAAUUGCAUCCCUGACAGUUGUUGUGUUUC